RNAcentral lists this RNase P RNA (190 nucleotides) under Comamonadaceae bacterium. RNAcentral describes it as "partial RNase P RNA component class A". It matches the Rfam family "Bacterial RNase P class A", at positions 1 to 243 of the family's 367-position model. From Rfam's summary of the family: Ribonuclease P (RNase P) is a ubiquitous endoribonuclease, found in archaea, bacteria and eukarya as well as chloroplasts and mitochondria. Lineage: Bacteria; Pseudomonadati; Pseudomonadota; Betaproteobacteria; Burkholderiales; Comamonadaceae. The record is from RNAcentral.
GAAGCACGCCAGGCCGUCGCUGGUGCAAGUCUCGAAAGAGCGCACUGGAGGAACGUCCGGACUGCACAGGACAGCGCAGGAGCUAACGGCUCUCCACCGUGAGGUGAGGAUCAGAGCAACAGAGACGAGCCGAUUCAGUUCGGGUGAAACGGGCAAUCUCUGCGCGCAGCAACACCAAGUAGGCCGGUAU